RNAcentral lists this transfer RNA (73 nucleotides) under Candidatus Woesebacteria bacterium RIFCSPHIGHO2_01_FULL_38_10. RNAcentral's name for it is "tRNA-Arg". It matches the Rfam family "tRNA". Rfam says of the family: Transfer RNA (tRNA) molecules are approximately 80 nucleotides in length. Lineage: Bacteria; Candidatus Woeseibacteriota. RNAcentral also lists the same sequence under 1 other name. The record is from RNAcentral.
GCCGCUGUAGCUCAAAGGACAGAGCAGUCCCGUCCUAAGGGAAAGGUUGGAGGUUCAAUUCCUCCCAGCGGCA